AUAUCAAUAAGCGGAGGAAAAGAAACCAACAGGGAUUGCCCUAGUAACGGCGAGUGAAGCGGCAACAGCUCAAAUUUGAAAUCUGGCGUCUUUGGCGUCCGAGUUGUAAUUUGCAGAGGGCGCUUUGGCAUUGGCAGCGGUCCAAGUUCCUUGGAACAGGACGUCACAGAGGGUGAGAAUCCCGUACGUGGUCGCUAGCCUUUACCGUGUAAAGCCCCUUCGACGAGUCGAGUUGUUUGGGAAUGCAGCUCUAAAUGGGAGGUAAAUUUCUUCUAAAGCUAAAUACUGGCCAGAGACCGAUAGCGCACAAGUAGAGUGAUCGAAAGAUGAAAAGCACUUUGGAAAGAGAGUUAAAAAGCACGUGAAAUUGUUGAAAGGGAAGCGCUUGCAGCCAGACUUGCCUGUAGUUGCUCAUCCGGGUUUUUACCCGGUGCACUCUUCUACGGGCAGGCCAGCAUCAGUUUGGGCGGUUGGAUAAAGGUCUCUGUCAUGUACCUCCUCUCGGGGAGAUCUUAUAGGGGAGACGACAUGCAACCAGCCUGGACUGAGGUCCGCGCAUCUGCUAGGAUGCUGGCGUAAUGGCUGUAAGCGGCCCGUCUUGAAACACGGACCAAGGAGUCUAACAUCUAUGCGAGUGUUUGGGUGUCAAGCCCGAACGCGUAAUGAAAGUGAACGGAGGUGGGAACCUUUCGGGGUGCACCAUCGACCGAUCCUGAUGUCUUCGGAUGGAUUUGAGUAAGAGCAUAGCUGUUGGGACCCGAAAGAUGGUGAACUAUGCUUGAAUAGGGUGAAGCCAGAGGAAACUCUGGUGGAGGCUCGCAGCGGUUCUGACGUGCAAAUCGAUCGUCAAAUUUGGGCAUAGGGGCGAAAGACUAAUCGAACUAUCUAGUAGCUGGUUCCUGCCG
The sequence is a ribosomal RNA, 905 nucleotides long. It matches the Rfam family "Eukaryotic large subunit ribosomal RNA", at positions 40 to 963 of the family's 3401-position model.